This 515-nucleotide ribosomal RNA is filed under the name uncultured bacterium. RNAcentral describes it as "partial 16S ribosomal RNA". It matches the Rfam family "Bacterial small subunit ribosomal RNA", at positions 28 to 523 of the family's 1533-position model. The record is from RNAcentral.
GAUGAACGCUGGCGGCGUGCCUAAUACAUGCAAGUCGAGCGAAUGGAUUAAGAGCUUGCUCUUAUGAAGUUAGCGGCGGACGGGUGAGUAACACGUGGGUAACCUGCCCAUAGGACUGGGAUAACUCCGGGAAACCGGGGCUAAUACCGGAUAACAUUUUGAACCGCAUGGUUCGAAAUUGAAAGGCGGCUUCGGCUGUCACUUAUGGAUGGACCCGCGUCGCAUUAGCUAGUUGGUGAGGUAACGGCUCACCAAGGCAACGAUGCGUAGCCGGCCUGGGAGGGUGGUCGGCCACACUGGGACUGAGACACGGCCCAGACUCCUACGGGAGGCAGCAGUAGGGAAUCUUCCGCAAUGGACGAAAGUCUGACGGAGCAACGCCGCGUGAGUGAUGAAGGCUUUCGGGUCGUAAAACUCUGUUGUUAGGGAAGAACAAGUGCUAGUUGAAUAAGCUGGCACCUUGACGGUACCUAACCAGAAAGCCACGGCUAACUACGUGCCAGCCGCCGCAGUAA